AUUGAACGCUGGCGGCAGGCCUAACACAUGCAAGUCGAACGGUAACAGGAAGCAGCUUGCUGCUUCGCUGACGAGUGGCGGACGGGUGAGUAAUGUCUUGGAAGCUGCCUGAUGGAGGGGGAUAACUACUGGAAACGGUAGCUAAUACCGCAUAAUGUCGCAAGUCCAAAGAGGGGGACCUUCGGGCCUCUUGCCAUCGGAUGUGCCCCGAUGGGAUUAGCUUGUUGGUGGGGUAACGGCUCACCAAGGCGACGCUCCCUAGCUGGUCUGAGAGGAUGACCGGCCACACUGGAACUGAGACACGGUCCAGACUCCUACGGGAGGACGCAGUGGGGAAUAUUGCACAAUGGGCGCAAGCCGGAUGCAGCCAUGCCGCGUGUAUGAAGAAGGCCUUCGGGUUGUAAAGUACUUUCAGCGGGGAGGAAGGGAGUAAAGUUAAUACCUUUGCUUAUUGACGUUACCCGCAGAAGAAGCACCGGCUAACUCCGUG
RNAcentral lists this ribosomal RNA (490 nucleotides) under uncultured bacterium. Its description in RNAcentral is "partial 16S ribosomal RNA". It matches the Rfam family "Bacterial small subunit ribosomal RNA", at positions 30 to 507 of the family's 1533-position model. The record is from RNAcentral.